RNAcentral lists this ribosomal RNA (556 nucleotides) under uncultured archaeon. RNAcentral's name for it is "bacterial SSU rRNA". It matches the Rfam family "Archaeal small subunit ribosomal RNA", at positions 106 to 659 of the family's 1478-position model. The record is from RNAcentral.
AAUCUACCCUCGAGUCUGGGACAACCUCGGGAAACUGAGGACAAUCCCGGAUAGGCGAUGGACGCUGGAAUGCCUCAUCGCUCAAAGCUCCGGCGCUCGAGGAUGGGACUGCGGCCUAUCAGGCUGUUGGUGGUGUAACGGACCACCAAACCUACGACGGGUAUGGGCAAUGGGAGUUGGAGCCCAGAGAUGGGGACUGAGACAAGGCCCCAGGCCCUACGGGGCGCAGCAGGCGCGAAAACUUCGCAAUGCGCGAAAGCGUGACGAGGGAACCCCAAGUGCCGUUGGUCUUUUGAUCGACGGCUUUUCGGGAGUCUAAGAAGCUUCCAGAAUAAGGGCUGGGCAAGACUGGUGCCAGCCGCCGCGGUAAUACCAGCAGCCCAAGUGGUGGUCGCGUUUAUUGGGCCUAAAGCGCUCGUAGCCGGGCUUGCAAGUCCCUUGUGAAAUCGGACGGCUCAACCGUUCGGCGUGCAAGGGAUACUGCCAGUCUUGGGAUCGGGAGAGGUCGGGGGUACUUCGGGGGUAGCGGUGAAAUGCUGUAAUCCCUGGGGGACCA